CUAUGAGUUUAUAUUGAUGUUUUAUUAUGUUUUUGGUGAUUUAGUGGUUUUUUUUUUCAAAUUAUGAUUUUAUAUUACAUAUAAAGUAUACACACAGGUUAUUGGAUACAAAAAGACAGACACUUCAUACUUCAUCAAGCUUCAUGUAUAUGGAGGUGUAAAAGGGUGGGUACGAGAAAAGUUAUUCAUUUGGAGAUAGACAUUUAUUUGGCCUAUUGGCAAUAUAGAUGCAGAGGAAAUAUUUGAGGAGGUAUUGUUUGACAGGAUUGGGCAGCAAACUUUAAGGGCUCGGAUGUUUUCAACCCGCGCAAAAGAUUUAAAUUGAUUGCGUUUAUCUAUACUAUCGUAUAAAGCAUUUCACAAGGGUUCCAACCAAAUUUAAAUAAUUGCAACAUAUUAUGCUUAUAGUACAACAACUCAAUGAAGUUAGUAAAGGGAAUUAGUCUUUCUACA
This is a long non-coding RNA of Helianthus annuus (common sunflower), 453 nucleotides long. RefSeq lists it as uncharacterized. The record is from RefSeq and is a predicted model, not a curated record. The transcript has 3 exons. NCBI's taxonomy places the organism in Eukaryota, Viridiplantae, Streptophyta, Magnoliopsida, Asterales, Asteraceae.